This 253-nucleotide ribosomal RNA is filed under the name uncultured bacterium. RNAcentral's name for it is "partial 16S ribosomal RNA". It matches the Rfam family "Bacterial small subunit ribosomal RNA", at positions 524 to 776 of the family's 1533-position model. The record is from RNAcentral.
UACGUAGGGGGCUAGCGUUGUCCGGAAUCAUUGGGCGUAAAGAGCGUGUAGGCGGUCCGGUAAGUCCGCUGUGAAAGUCGGGGGCUCAACCCUCGAAUGCCGGUGGAUACUGUCGGGCUAGAGUGCGGAAGAGGCGAGUGGAAUUCCUGGUGUAGCGGUGGAAUGCGCAGAUAUCAGGCGGAACACCGAUGGCGAAGGCAGUUCUCUGGGCCGUAACUGACGCUGAGGAGCGAAAGCGUGGGGAGCGAACAGG